CGCCUCGCCUCCGACACGUCCCCCGGGCGCCACUGCAGAGCCUGUCCGUCAGUCCCUAGGUAUCCGCACUGCUCAGGGCAGCUGAUAGAACCAUGGCGACCAUUGCUGCUGCUGCGUUUGAGGCCCUCAUGGAUGGAGUGACAUGCUGGGAUGUCCCCAGAGGCCCCAUCCCCAGUGAACUCCUUCUUAUUGGAGAAGCCGCCUUCCCCGUGAUGGUGAAUGACAAGGGCCAGGUGCUCAUUGCUGCCUCCUCCUACGGCCGAGGCCGCCUCGUGGUUGUGUCCCAUGAGGGCUACCUGUCGCAUGCUGGCUUGGCUCCGUUUCUCCUCAAUGCAGUGAGCUGGCUCUGUCCCUGUCCUGGGGCUCCCGUGGGAGUGCAUCCAUCCCUGGCACCUCUAGUAAACAUCCUACAGGAUGCUGGGCUUGAGGCACAGGUCAAGCCAGAACCAGGAGAGCCCCUAGGGGUUUACUGUAUCAAUGCCUACAAUGACACCUUGACUGCAACGCUGAUCCAGUUUGUGAAACAUGGAGGGGGCUUGUUAAUCGGGGGCCAGGCCUGGUACUGGGCCAGCCAGCACGGCCCUGACAAGGUGCUCUCCAGGUUCCCUGGGAACAAGGUGACAAGUGUAGCCGGAGUGUACUUCACUGACACCUAUGGGGACAGAGACCGGUUCAAGGUCUCUAAGAAGGUGCCCAAGAUCCCACUCCAUGUCAGGAGGAUUCCCUGGGAGCACCCACCAGCUGAGAUCUGCACAUCAGCCACAAUCCUCUCAGGACGGCGGAAAGGGAAGGGCUCAGCCGCCAGCCUGGCCACAGCCUGCAUCAUCUCAUCCCAGAGGCGGAGCACAGGCUCGGGGUCCUUCAGGGCCUGAAGGUUUGUGGUUGGCACUGUCAGGAUGAUGUUGUCCGUGGCCAGCUCUCCCCAGGGAGCCAGGUUCUCCUGCAUCUGCCUCUUCCACUCCUCCAGCGAUGUCUUACCUGGGAAUAAAUAUCAUGGAACCUACCACACCCACUUCUCCAACUUCCCUUGAGCUGAAAAAUACCAUUUGAACUCUGGAAGAACAUUGCAAUAAUGAACUACUAUCACAGGCGUCUAUAGGCUGUAAAGUGAAGAAAAGGCUUCCUGACUCUUCUCUUUGUCUGCCCUGAAGUCUCCAUGGACACAGGGUAUUCCGUAUCUUCUGCCUCCAUGUUCCCUCCCAACAGUUCUUCCUCUUUCUCUCCACCAAAGCUCAUCCCUCUCCCAUUUAGCAACCACCCCACAGUUCCCACGGCAUCUGCCACUCUUCCUCCUCCCUAAAUGUUCACUCCACUUACCCAGCUUGUAGUAUGGGGCAGGCACAGCUCCCCUGAUAGUGACAGGCACAGGGCCUAGUUGGCUGCCCUUGGGCACGAUGACGUAGAGGAGGCCGCCCCAGAGGCAGGAGACUGACCGCUCAGUCCUGUCCAUCCAGCAUUGGUGAGUCACCACGGGGGCUCGAGAUAGCUUCCUGGCCUUGGUAAGGUCAUCGGUGUGGCAGCCAAUCUGUACCUGGACAGGUGAUUCCACCAAGCGUUGGAGAAAUUAGAGUCUUUGUGAUGCUUUGUGAUGUGCGUGUGAGGUUGUGUAGAUGGAAGGUAUUAGACAAACAUGCCCAUGAAACCCCAGCUUCCCUUUUCUAUGUGCUAGGCAUGGAAACUUAUGAAAUUUUAGCACUCCAAAGUCAUUUGGACUUCAAGGCAUUUAAAAUCAUUUUUCUAAGGAUUUAAACAGCUCCACUAUAAGUCUUCACCUGACAUGAAUUGGUGAGAGACCAGGCUGAUCCUGGCAAAGGUCUUGUGUCUUUCUGCCAGGCAAAAUCCUGGGUUCUUCUAGCAGGACCUAAGCCAGUCUGGGGACGCUGAUAUUGAGGAUGAGCUGGGGGACUCUGCUCUGUCCUCUGUGAACACACAGGAGGCCCAUCCAGAGUGAGUGAGGUUGAUUCUCUCUCCCUCUUUGCCCAGAGCUUCCCUUUCUGGCCGCCAGAUGGGUGGAGAUCUGUUUUGUCUGGAGUCCUGGAGUUGCUUUUCUUAGGUUUGAUAUAAGCAAGCUCCAGAAAGAAUGCUGACAGAAAAGGGACCCUAGCUGUGGUAGGAAGUGGCCCUCAGAGUCAAGGAGGCAGGAUGAAUUUAAAUUCUGCAUGUAGGGCAUAUUUUGGGGAGUGAUGGGAUUAUGCACACCCUUCAGGUGUCAAGAUAAAGAGAUAAAACCAGAGUUUGUGCAGAAUGAGCUUGCUGACACACAGCCUAAAUUUGUACCGCAUGUUUCAUACUAACUCCCUCUGAGUUUGCACAUGGGACCCAUGAGGAGGCAUGAAGAGGUAACUGCCCAUGCCCGAGGAUUUUCCAGCCCUUCCUUUUCUUUCUAUCAAUCACCUACUAAUCACAGAAUCCACUCCCUACACCUUUUCUACUAAAAUAACUCUUUAAAAUAAGUACAAUGGGACAGAUUUGAGCUGGGCUCCUGUCUCCUUGUUAAUCAAAUUGCAAUAAAAUGUUUUCUUUUGUU
Molecule: RNA transcript, 2527 nt
Organism: Homo sapiens (human)
Lineage: Eukaryota; Metazoa; Chordata; Mammalia; Primates; Hominidae
Gene name: family with sequence similarity 115, member C pseudogene
Source: RefSeq, marked validated